GUGCCAGCCGCCGCGGUAAUACGGGGGGGGCAAGCGUUGUUCGGAAUUACUGGGCGUAAAGGGCUCGUAGGCGGCCAACUAAGUCCGACGUGAAAUCCCCAGGCUUAACCUGGGAACUGCGUCGGAUACUGGAUGGCUUGAAUUCGGGAGAGGGAUGCAGAAUUCCAGGUGUAGCGGUGAAAUGCGUAGAUAUCUGGAGGAAUACCGGUGGCGAAGGCGGCAUCCUGGACCGACAUUGACGCUGAGGAGCGAAAGCUAGGGGAGCAAACGGGAUUAGAAACCCCAGUAGUCC
Molecule: ribosomal RNA, 292 nt
Filed under: uncultured bacterium
Lineage: Bacteria
Description: partial 16S ribosomal RNA
Rfam family: Bacterial small subunit ribosomal RNA
Source: RNAcentral